CCUACGGGUGGCAGCAGUGGGGAAUAUUGCACAAUGGGGGAAACCCUGAUGCAGCGACGCCGCGUGAGUGAAGAAGUAUUUCGGUAUGUAAAGCUCUAUCAGCAGGGAAGAAAAUGACGGUACCUGACUAAGAAGCCCCGGCUAACUCCGUGCCAGCAGCCGCGGUAAUACGGAGGAUGCGAGCGUUAUCCGGAUUUAUUGGGUUUAAAGGGUGCGUAGGCGGGCUGUUAAGUCAGCGGUCAAAUGUCGGGGCUCAACCCCGGCCUGCCGUUGAAACUGGCGGCCUCGAGUGGGCGAGAAGUAUGCGGAAUGCGUGGUGUAGCGGUGAAAUGCAUAGAUAUCACGCAGAACUCCGAUUGCGAAGGCAGCAUACCGGCGCCCGACUGACGCUGAGGCACGAAAGCGUGGGUAUCGAACAGGAUUAGAUACCCCAGUAGUC
Molecule: ribosomal RNA, 439 nt
Filed under: uncultured bacterium
Lineage: Bacteria
Description: partial 16S ribosomal RNA
Rfam family: Bacterial small subunit ribosomal RNA
Source: RNAcentral